This 759-nucleotide ribosomal RNA is filed under the name uncultured Bacteroidota bacterium. RNAcentral describes it as "bacterial SSU rRNA". It matches the Rfam family "Bacterial small subunit ribosomal RNA", at positions 579 to 1342 of the family's 1533-position model. The record is from RNAcentral. Lineage: Bacteria; Pseudomonadati; Bacteroidota.
AAUAAUAAGUCAGCGGUGAAAGCCUGCGGCUUAACCGUAGAAUUGCCAUUGAUACUGUUAUUCUUGAGUAUAGUUGAAGUGGGCGGAAUGUGUAAUGUAGCGGUGAAAUGCUUAGAUAUUACACAGAACACCAAUUGCGAAGGCAGCUCACUAAGCUGUUACUGACGCUGAGGCACGAAAGCGUGGGGAGCAAACAGGAUUAGAUACCCUGGUAGUCCACGCUGUAAACGAUGAUCACUCGUUGUUGGCGAUACACCGUCAGCGACUGAGCGAAAGCAAUAAGUGAUCCACCUGGGGAGUACGGCGGCAACGCUGAAACUCAAAGGAAUUGACGGGGGCCCGCACAAGCGGAGGAACAUGUGGUUUAAUUCGAUGAUACGCGAGGAACCUUACCUGGGCUUGAAAGGGGAUCGACCUCCCGGGAAACCGGGAUUCUCUUCGGAGCGGUCUCCUAGGUGCUGCAUGGUUGUCGUCAGCUCGUGCCGUGAGGUGUCGGGUUAAGUCCCAUAACGAGCGCAACCCCUAUUGUUAGUUGCCAGCGGGUAAUGCCGGGAACUCUAACGAAACUGCCGGUGUAAACCGAGAGGAAGGUGGGGAUGACGUCAAAUCAGCACGGCCCUUAUGUCCAGGGCUACACACGUGUUACAAUGGCCGGCACAAAGGGCAGCUAUGCCGCGAGGCAAUGCUAAUCUCUAAAACCGGUCUCAGUUCGGAUCGAAGUCUGCGACUCGACUUCGUGAAGCUGGAUUCGCUAGUAAU